Molecule: ribosomal RNA, 274 nt
Filed under: uncultured bacterium
Lineage: Bacteria
Description: partial 16S ribosomal RNA
Rfam family: Bacterial small subunit ribosomal RNA
Source: RNAcentral
AUACGGAGGGUGCAAGCGUUAUCCGGAAUCAUUGGGUUUAAAGGGUCCGUAGGCGGGCAAAUAAGUCAGAGGUGAAAUCCCACAGCUCAACUGUGGAACUGCCUUUGAUACUGUUUGUCUUGAGUUAUAGUGAAGUAGAUAGAAUAUGUAGUGUAGCGGUGAAAUGCAUAGAUAUUACAUAGAAUACCGAUUGCGAAGGCAGUCUACUAACUAUACACUGACGCUAAUGGACGAAAGCGUGCGGAGCGAACAGGAUUAGAAACCCUAGUAGUCC